GUCCCGUGUGGGUGAGGGACCUUGCUGCCAGGUUGUGGCCUGUGUCCAGGAGGCUCCCCGGUCCUGCGGGCGUGAUGAGUGAGCGUAUCUAGCAGUCACGGCUGAAGAAUCGUGUCUUGGCCCCCACCCGGCUGGACUCAGUCCCAGUGUCCUAGUCCCCGACUGAACUGCGGGCCUUGACGUUCAGGACGAUGGAGCGUUCGCAGGGGCCGGGUCUUCAUCCCAGAACCUAGUGUCGUGAGAUACAAAGGACUCAGGCAGAGGGAUCUGCAUGUGCAACGACUCAGAGGUGAGCAACCAUGCAAGAUCUGAAAGUUCUAAGUCCUGGGAAAAAGACAGAGCGGAGACGCAGGGCCCGCACUCUGGAGGGAGGACCAGCCCGGAGGGGGCCCCUGGGGCGCAGCUUCACUUCUGCAUUUCCCCGGUCAGAACCUUCUGGGACGAGCCUGAACAUUCCGUGCCUGGACAGUCCCUCGGGGAUUCGGACGCGCUCCCAGAAACAGCUCUAACUCGAAAUCCGGUGACGAGAUUUGGUCACUGCUGCACCUUUCCUCGCGAGAAGUGACAGGAGAAGUA
Molecule: long non-coding RNA, 576 nt
Organism: Enhydra lutris kenyoni (northern sea otter)
Lineage: Eukaryota; Metazoa; Chordata; Mammalia; Carnivora; Mustelidae
Exons: 3
Source: RefSeq, a predicted model, not a curated record